AAACAACAAUAAACUGUUGCAGAGAGAGAGAAUAGACUUGCAAAGCAAAGAGAGAAAAGAAAACAAGAAACUGUUUCAGAGAGGGAAAAUAGACUUGCAAAGCAAGGAGAGAAAAGGAAACAGGUAAAACAACCAGAAACUGUUGCAGAGAGAGAGAAUAGACUUGCAAAGCAAAGAGAGAAAAGAAAACAAGAAACUGUUUCAGAGAGGGAAAAUAGACUUGCAAAGCAAGGAGAGAAAAGAAAACAGGCAAAACAACUUGAAACUGUUGCAGAGAGAGAGAGAACAGACUUGCAAAGCAAAGAGAGAAAAGAAAACAAGAAACUGUUUCAGAGAGAGAAAAUAGACUUGCAAAGCAAGGAGAGAAAAGGAAACAGGCAAAACAACCAGAAACUGUUGCAGAGAGAGAGAAUAGACUUGCAAAGCGAAGAGAAAAAAGAAAACAAGAAAAUGUUUCAGAGAGGGAAAAUAGGCUUGCAAAGCAAGGAGAGAAAAGGAAACAGGUA
Molecule: long non-coding RNA, 506 nt
Filed under: Paramuricea clavata
Lineage: Eukaryota; Metazoa; Cnidaria; Anthozoa; Malacalcyonacea; Plexauridae
Source: RNAcentral